Molecule: long non-coding RNA, 1976 nt
Filed under: Ornithorhynchus anatinus (platypus)
Lineage: Eukaryota; Metazoa; Chordata; Mammalia; Monotremata; Ornithorhynchidae
Description: lncRNA (ENSOANG00000043721.1)
Source: RNAcentral
AUCAAGACGUGAUGUCGGCGGUUACAGAUUGGGUUCUCGGAGCAGUUUCCAGUUCAGAUGAACUACCUAAGCCGUGCGCAUUUCCCCUGUCAUCCUCCGAGCCAGCGUCAGCAAAGCGAGAUUAUCUGGCUGGGUCCUGCUUCGCCGGCCGGUCUCUCCUCCGAGCCCCUUUCCCUCCGUUCCUCUGAUCGCUCUCCCCCUGGUGUUGUCUGGCCAGAGUUGCCAGGAGGGGCAGGGGGGUUUAUCUUUUUAUUUUGAUUUUUUUCAUGUUUCAAAGAAAGUUGGUAUUUUUCCUGUUAUAACGAGCUGUACCGAGCUAGUCAAAUGAGACCAGGACACGGGUCCAGUCCCAACACCCUCUGCUUUUAAUCAAUGACCAAACUUUGGGCUAGGAUUCAGGAAGCAGCUGGUGCCUGGACCCCGGUCAUGGCCUCCUGCUCUCGGUAGGGUGGAGUGGGUUGGAAUCGAGUAGUAAAUAGAGGUGCGGAUGGGGGCCGAGGGUUCCAGCCCAGCCUGGGUGGUGACCCUCCAAGCAGAUUAUUAAAACAUCCAUUGGAAAAAUCCAGGGCUUCCCGCCUCUCUCCGCACGCCCCCCCCCACCUCUUCCUCUUUCCAUGGUCAAAAGGCCCAAGCUAAACUCCCAGGAGCCAGGCUGGCCUCCCCAGUACCUGGAACUGGAUCUGCCCAACAAGGGACGCUGCCUGGCUAAAGAUAGUUAAAGCCCUUGGAGGGAGGGGAGGUGUUUUUGUGAGUCCAGCUGGACCACGAGCAUGACGAUCACUACCGUACUCGAGCACUCCUUUAGCACUUAUACGGAUAUAUCGCUUUUCAUGCUCCACUUAUUUGUUCCCUUAUUUUUCGCCUAUUCAUCUUCCAUACUCCUAGCAGUUUUCUCGUGGUUCUCUCGCUCCCACGGUUUGUAAAUCAUUUACGCCUCCCCGACUCCUCUAUUAGAUUAUAGGCUCCUCGAGGGCAGGGAGCGUGUCUUCUUUUACUUGUAUUGAAGAUUCCCAAGCACAGCACGCCAAAAGGGCUCAGUGAACAGUGAAGAAGUUGAAACAGAUUGAUGAACAGUGAAGAACUAGCCUCUGCUUCAGAGCCUCCCUUUUCCCCAGUCAAUCAAUCAAUCAAAACGUGAUAUUCGAGUAGUUAAAAUCAGGCAGAUGGCAGGAGCUAGGCCGAGGGGCCAGCUUCCAACCAGCUCCCGUGAACGUGUGCAGGCAACCAGGGAGCUGGGGAGAGCCCGUUUUCCGAAAAGUGAUCAGGGAGGAAGGAGAGAGGGAUUGUAAUGUUCUCGGGCCUCUCUUCCAGCUUGCACGUAGCCCGUCUGAGGGUAUUUUUUAUGGUAUUUGUUAAGCGCCAGGCACUGUGCUAAGCACUGAGGUAAAUACACGGUCGUCAGGCUGGACACCGUCCCUGUCCCGCAUGCUCGCAGUCUUAAUCUCCAUUUUACAGAUGAGGUAACUGAGGCAUAGAGAAGUUAGACGACUCGCCCAAGGUCACACGGCAGACAAGUGGCAGAGCCAGGAUUAGAACCCAGUUCCUUCUGACUCCCAGGCCUGGGCUCUUUCCACUAGUCCAAACUGCUUCUCCUCAGCCCCGAUGGCGGCAGCCGAGGGACACAGACGCAGCCAAGGGGAAUCCUUUCAAAUGGAAACUGGUAGAGAGACCGAGGCUGCAGCGUAUUCCUUGAGAUCUACUUUCUAUGAUCCACAGAGUGGAACCGUUAUCUGGGGAACUGCCCUGAUUCAUUCAUUCAAUAGUAUUUAUUGAGCGCUUACUAUGUGCAGAGCACUGUACUAAGCGCUUGGGAUGAACAAGUCGGCAACAGAUAGAGACAGUCCCUGCCGUUUGACGGGCUUACGGUCUAAUCGGGGGAGAUGGACAGACGAGAACAAUGGCAAUAAAUAGAGUCGAGGGGAAGAACAUCUCGUAAAAACAAUGGCAACUAAAUAGAAUCAAGGCGAUGUACAAUU